This 480-nucleotide ribosomal RNA is filed under the name uncultured bacterium. RNAcentral's name for it is "bacterial SSU rRNA". It matches the Rfam family "Bacterial small subunit ribosomal RNA", at positions 30 to 506 of the family's 1533-position model. The record is from RNAcentral.
UUGAACGCUGGCGGUAUGCUUUACACAUGCAAGUCGAACGGCAGCACGGGGCAACCUGGUGGCGAGUGGCGAACGGGUGAGUAACAUAUCGGAACAUAUCCGGAAGUGGGGGAUAACGUAGCGAAAGUUACGCUAAUACCGCAUAUGCCCUGAGGGGGAAAGUGGGGGAUCGCAAGACCUCACGCUUUCGGAGUGGCCGAUAUCAGAUUAGCUAGUUGGUGGGGUAAAGGCCCACCAAGGCGACGAUCUGUAGCUGGUCUGAGAGGACGACCAGCCACACUGGAACUGAGACACGGUCCAGACUCCUACGGGAGGCAGCAGUGGGGAAUUUUGGACAAUGGGCGCAAGCCUGAUCCAGCCAUACCGCGUGAGUGAAGAAGGCCUUCGGGUUGUAAAGCUCUUUCAGCCGGAAAGAAACGGUACGCUCUAACAUAGCGUGCUAAUGACGGUACCGGCAGAAGAAGCACCGGCUAACUACGU